UUACACAUNGCAAGUCGAACGGCAGCGCGGGGCAACCUGGCGGCGAGUGGCGAACGGGUGAGUAAUAUAUCGGAACGUGCCCUGGAGUGGGGGAUAACGCAGCGAAAGUUGCGCUAAUACCGCAUACGAUCUAAGGAUGAAAGCGGGGGAUUCGCAAGAACCUCGUGCUCCUGGAGCGGCCGAUAUCUGAUUAGCUAGUUGGUGGGGUAAAGGCCUACCAAGGCAUCGAUCAGUAGCUGGUCUGAGAGGACGACCAGCCACACUGGAACUGAGACACGGUCCAGACUCCUACGGGAGGCAGCAGUGGGGAAUUUUGGACAAUGGGCGAAAGCCUGAUCCAGCAAUGCCGCGUGAGUGAAGAAGGCCUUCGGGUUGUAAAGCUCUUUUGUCAGGGAAGAAACGGUGAAGGCUAAUAUCCUUUGCUAAUGACGGUACCUGAAGAAUAAGCACCGGCUAACUACGUGCCAGCAGCCGCGGUAAUACGUAGGGUGCAAGCGUUAAUCGGAAUUACUGGGCGUAAAGCGUGCGCAGGCGGUUUUGUAAGUCUGUCGUGAAAUCCCCGGGCUCAACCUGGGAAUUGCGAUGGAGACUGCAAGGCUAGAAUCUGGCAGAGGGGGGUAGAAUUCCACGUGUAGCAGUGAAAUGCGUAGAGAUGUGGAGGAACACCGAUGGCGAAGGCAGCCCCCUGGGUCAAGAUUGACGCUCAUGCACGAAAGCGUGGGGAG
This 725-nucleotide ribosomal RNA is filed under the name uncultured bacterium. Its description in RNAcentral is "bacterial SSU rRNA". It matches the Rfam family "Bacterial small subunit ribosomal RNA", at positions 49 to 768 of the family's 1533-position model. The record is from RNAcentral.